AGUGAAGCGGGAAAAGCUCAAAUUUAAAAUCUGGCAGUCUUUGGCUGUCCGAGUUGUAAACUAGAGAAGUGUUACCCGCGUCGGACCGUGUACAAGUCUCCUGGAAUGGAGCAUCAUAGAGGGUGAGAAUCCCGUCUUUGACAUGGACUACCGAGGCUUUUGUGGUGCGCUCUCAACGAGUCGAGUUGUUUGGGAAUGCAGCUCAAAAUGGGUGGUAAAUUCCAUCUAAAGCUAAAUAUUGGCGAGAGACCGAUAGCGAACAAGUACCGUGAGGGAAAGAUGAAAAGAACUUUGGAAAGAGAGUUAAACAGUACGUGAAAUUGCUGAAAGGGAAACGCUUGAAGUCAGUCGCGUUGGCCGGAAAUCAACCCUGCUUCUGUUGGGUGUACUUUCUGGUUGACGGGCCAGCAUCAGUUUUGACCGGUGGAAAAAGUCCAAGGGAAUGUGGCAUCUCCGGAUGUGUUAUAGCCCUUGGUCGUAUACAUCGGUUGGGACUGAGGAAUUCAGCACGCCGCAAGGCCGGGUUUCGACCACGUUCGUGCUUAGGAUGCUGGCAUAAUGGCUUUAAUCGACCCGUCU
This 579-nucleotide ribosomal RNA is filed under the name Coprinopsis cinerea. Its description in RNAcentral is "LSU rRNA". It matches the Rfam family "Eukaryotic large subunit ribosomal RNA", at positions 92 to 654 of the family's 3401-position model. The record is from RNAcentral. Lineage: Eukaryota; Fungi; Basidiomycota; Agaricomycetes; Agaricales; Psathyrellaceae.